GUAACCCUGUAAAGAAGCUUGAGAUAGGUUCUUUGAGGGCAAGAGACCACUGGAAAGAGACACCCAACCAAGAAGGCACCAGAUGCCCAGUGUGUGUGUAGGGUUUUGGAUGGACCAUCUGGCCUGCCUUACUAGAGGCACCAGAUAACUGCAGCUAAGUAUAUGACUCAGCAGAUGCAGCUGCAUUUCUGACAAGAGUUCUUGGCCACCUCUGCUCUGUCUCCAUCCAGAAUAGUUCUUGUGGGGCACACUACUCAGAUAUGAUAUAAAGGUAUUGGAAAGAAAACCUCUCUUAUGGAAAUAGCAACAAAUUCCAAACUAUCUGGGUAGCACAAGCAAUUUACUCUCCUUCAACUUAAAGAAUUGUUGCUUUAUGGCCAUUUUCCUUGAGUUUAUUGAUUUCAUAUGCAGUUUUUUUACAAUGACAUAAUGCAUCUGGGCUUCAUGCACAGAGACAGAAAGGAUAACUAACAUUGGUGUCAUCUGUCAACCCAAAGUAAUCAAUGGCACCUGGUCUCUACUUAGAAGUGCAAAGCAUCAAGGAGCAAAGUCUCUUCAAUCAAAGUGCCUCAAGGACAAGAAAGGCAUUCUAUUUCACAGAUCACUGUAGACAUGCCAGGCAUUCCAAGAAAUGUAAGUCU
Molecule: long non-coding RNA, 641 nt
Organism: Leopardus geoffroyi (Geoffroy's cat)
Lineage: Eukaryota; Metazoa; Chordata; Mammalia; Carnivora; Felidae
Exons: 4
Source: RefSeq, a predicted model, not a curated record